This 363-nucleotide ribosomal RNA is filed under the name uncultured bacterium. Its description in RNAcentral is "bacterial SSU rRNA". It matches the Rfam family "Bacterial small subunit ribosomal RNA", at positions 148 to 507 of the family's 1533-position model. The record is from RNAcentral.
UCCUGGAAACGGGGAUUAAUACCGCAUAAUAUGCCGAAGUCGCAUGACUUUGGUAUUAAAGCAGCAAUGCACUUAGAGAUGAGUGUGCGUCCCAUUAGGUAGUUGGUGAGGUAACGGCUCACCAAGCCUAUGAUGGGUAGCCGGUCUGAGAGGAUGGUCGGCCACACGGGCACUGAGACACGGGCCCGACUCCUACGGGAGGCAGCAGUAAGGAAUAUUGGUCAAUGGUGGAAACACUGAACCAGCCAUGCCGCGUGGAGGAAUAAGGUCCUACGGAUUGUAAACUCCUUUUGACGAGGAAGAAAAUGUUAGAUUUAUCUAAUUUUGACGGUACUCGUAGAAUAAGCACCGGCUAACUCCGUG